Molecule: non-coding RNA, 693 nt
Organism: Pelobates cultripes (western spadefoot toad)
Lineage: Eukaryota; Metazoa; Chordata; Amphibia; Anura; Pelobatidae
Source: the annotation of a GenBank genome assembly
AAGAAAAAGAGAGGUUUCAAACACCAUAAAGAAGUAACAUCUUCAGUUUUUAAAUAUUUCUUCCUUCAGUUACCUGCCUUAGGUUAGUCCUUUAUGGUGAUUCAAUCUCUUCUUUUUCUUGCAAAUAAGAUAAUGGAUAAGGAAGUAAUAAAACUGGUUCACGUACAUUUAAAGAAAAUGGAGCUCCCGGAAUCUUCUUUAAAAACACAUAUAAUUUUAAUAUUUCUACAGGCCGUUAAUUGGCUGUAACUUGUUAUCAUUAUGGAUAUAAUGUAUAGGGGUCCUAAACAGAUAGUCAUGUGUUAAAAAAUGGCUACAAAGCAACAGUUUCCAUUAGGUGGUGCUUGUCAAAGUUCCAUAGAUGGUUCCAUUCAACAGAUAAUUACAACAUACUGGGUAAUGGUGAUAUCACUGGUUCUGCUUAUCCAUCAUAGUUAUGUUAUAGUUAGUAGGUUGCUAUGUUUUAAUGUGAAUUAAAAGGUUACUUCAACCACCAUGGCCACUUCUGCUGAUAUUGGCACUUGUGUGCCAGGGACAAGUUGCACCCCCAGCACACGUGACUUGGGCAACCUGGAAUUCCGAUUCGGGCUGUCUAAUGUCAAUUCUAUGCAUAAAAAACGUCUGUCCUCAGUGCGCACUUCUCCCUUGCAGGGAGAGCCUUCUGCAAGGGAGAAGCUCUUGUUUCCCCUCAAU